ACGGCUCAGUAACACGUGGCUAACCUGCCCUUGGGACGGGGACAACCCCGGGAAACUGGGGUUAAUCCCAGAUAGGUGAGAACUCCUGGAAUGGAUUUUCAUCGAAAAGGUGUUGAAGCAUGCUUUCAACGGCGUCCGAGGAUGGGACCGCGGCCGAUCAGGUUGUUGGUGAGGUAACGGCUCACCAAGCCUUUAACCGGUACGGGCCGUGAGAGCGGGAGCCCGGAGAUGGAAUCUGAGACAAAAUUCCAGGCCCUACGGGGCGCAGCAGUCGCGAAAACUCCGCAAUACGCGAAAGCGUGACGGGGCCAGCCCGAGUGCCGUCCGCUGAGGGUGGCUUUUCCCCAGUGUAAUGAGCUGGAGGCAAUAAAAGGAGGGCAAGGAUGGUGUCAGCCGCCGCGGUAAAACCAACUCCCUGAGUGGUGAGGAUUAUUAUUGGGCUUAAAGCGUUCGUAGCUGGCCUGACUAGUCCCGCGUUAAAUCCAACGACCUAAUCGUUGGGCUGCGGGGGACACGGUCAGGCUUGGGGGCGGGAGAGGUUAGCGGUAUUCCCGGGGUAGGGGUAAAAUCUUAUAAUCCCGGGAGGACCACCAGUGGCGAAGGCUGCUAACCAGAACGCGCCCGACGGUGAGGGACGAAAGCUGGGGGAGCGAACCGGAUUAGAUACCCGGGUAGUCCCAGCCGUAAACGAUGCAGGCUAGCUGUUGGGAUGGCCACGAGCCAUUUCAGUGGCGCAGGGAAGCCGUUAAGCCUGCCGCCUGGGAAGUAAGAUCGCAAGAUUGAAACUUAAAGGAAUUGGCGGGGGAG
This 807-nucleotide ribosomal RNA is filed under the name uncultured archaeon. Its description in RNAcentral is "bacterial SSU rRNA". It matches the Rfam family "Archaeal small subunit ribosomal RNA", at positions 85 to 876 of the family's 1478-position model. The record is from RNAcentral.